Molecule: ribosomal RNA, 253 nt
Filed under: uncultured bacterium
Lineage: Bacteria
Description: partial 16S ribosomal RNA
Rfam family: Bacterial small subunit ribosomal RNA
Source: RNAcentral
UACAGAGGUCUCAAGCGUUGUUCGGAUUCAUUGGGCGUAAAGGGUGCGUAGGUGGCGUCGUAAGUCGGGUGUGAAAUUUCGGAGCUUAACUCCGAAACUGCAUUCGAUACUGCGGUGCUUGAGGACUGGAGAGGAGACUGGAAUUUACGGUGUAGCAGUGAAAUGCGUAGAGAUCGUAAGGAAGACCAGUGGCGAAGGCGGGUCUCUGGACAGUUCCUGACAUUGAGGCACGAAGGCCAGGGGAGCAAACGGG